UUUAAUGAGAGUUUGAUCCUGGCUCAGGACGAACGCUGGCGGCGUGCCUAAUACAUGCAAGUAGAACGCUGAAGAGAGGAGCUUGCUCUUCUUGGAUGAGUUGCGAACGGGUGAGUAACGCGUAGGUAACCUGCCUGGUAGCGGGGGAUAACUAUUGGAAACGAUAGCUAAUACCGCAUAACAACAGUUGUUGCAUGACAGCUGUUUAAAAGAUGCAAUUGCAUCACUACCAGAUGGACCUGCGUUGUAUUAGCUAGUUGGUGAGGUAACGGCUCACCAAGGCGACGAUACAUAGCCGACCUGAGAGGGUGAUCGGCCACACUGGGACUGAGACACGGCCCAGACGCCUACGGGAG
This 356-nucleotide ribosomal RNA is filed under the name Streptococcus sp. AS14. Its description in RNAcentral is "bacterial SSU rRNA". It matches the Rfam family "Bacterial small subunit ribosomal RNA", at positions 1 to 347 of the family's 1533-position model. Lineage: Bacteria; Bacillati; Bacillota; Bacilli; Lactobacillales; Streptococcaceae. The record is from RNAcentral.